This 888-nucleotide long non-coding RNA is filed under the name Hordeum vulgare. RNAcentral describes it as "long non-coding RNA (HVUL_LNC000027)". Lineage: Eukaryota; Viridiplantae; Streptophyta; Magnoliopsida; Poales; Poaceae. The record is from RNAcentral.
AACUGGCCAGAAUAGGCUGAAAGUGCGAGUUUUGACGAGUUCCCCAUAACGUUCUCGAAACUUUCGGAUCGCACCGGGACCCAAAAGCAAUGAUUCAUAGCAUUGAUACAUCUCCAACGUAUCUAUAAAUUUUUAUGGUUCCAUGCUAUUAUCUUGUCAACUUUAGAUGUUUUAUAUGCAUGAAUAUGCUAUUUUAUAUCUUUUUGGGACUAACCUAUUAACUCAGUGCCAAGUGCCAGUUUCUGUUUUUUCCGUGUUUUUGACCCUUUUUCAGACGGAUUCCAAAUGGAAUGAAACUUUUCAAUGAUUUUUUUGGACCAAAAGAGACCUCCGAAGCUUUGGAAGAAGGCCAGAAGAGCCACGAGGGAGUCACAAGCCCUAAGGCCGCCACCACCCCCCUAGGCGGCGCCUACCAGGCUUGUGACCUCCUCGUGGGCCCAACCGAUGUAAUUUCACCGCCAUAAAUUCCUAUAAAUUCAGAAACCCCCAAAAAGAAACCUAGAUCGGGAGUUCCACCGCCGCAAGCCUCUGUAGCCACCAAAAACCAAUCUGGAGCCCGUUCCAGCACCCUGCCGGAGGGGGAAUCCAUCUCUGGUGGCCAUCUUCAUCAUCCACGCAAUCCCCAUGACGAGGAGGGAGUAGUUCUCCCUCGGGGUUGAUGGUAUGUACGAGUAGCUAUGUGUUUGAUCUCUCUUUUUCGUGUUCUUGAGAUAUCUUGAUCUCAAUGUACCAUGGGCUUUGCUACUAUAGUUGGAUCUUAUGAUGUUCUUCCCCCUCUCCCUCUUGUAAUGAAUUGAGUUUCCCCUUUGGAGUUAUAUUAUCGGAUUGAGUCUUUGAGAACACUUGAUGUAUGUCUUGCACGUGUCUAUCUGCUGUGAUCAACUUGCG